AACGAACGCUGGCGGCAUGCCUAACACAUGCAAGUCGAACGAGACCUUCGGGUCUAGUGGCGCACGGGUGCGUAACGCGUGGGAACCUGCCCUUAGGUUCGGAAUAACUCCCCGAAAGGGGUGCUAAUACCGGAUAAUGUCUUCGGACCAAAGAUUUAUCGCCUUUGGAUGGGCCCGCGUUGGAUUAGCUAGUUGGUAGGGUAAAAGCCUACCAAGGCGACGAUCCAUAGCUGGUCUGAGAGGAUGAUCAGCCACACUGGGACUGAGACACGGCCCAGACUCCUACGGGAGGCAGCAGUGGGGAAUAUGGGACAAUGGGCGAAAGCCUGAUCCAGCAAUGCCGCGUGAGUGAUGAAGGCCUUAGGGUUGUAAAGCUCUUUUACCCGGGAUGAUAAUGACAGUACCGGGAGAAUAAGCUCCGGCUAACUCCGU
Molecule: ribosomal RNA, 432 nt
Filed under: uncultured bacterium
Lineage: Bacteria
Description: partial 16S ribosomal RNA
Rfam family: Bacterial small subunit ribosomal RNA
Source: RNAcentral